GACGAACGCUGGCGGCGUGCUUAACACAUGCAAGUCGAACGGAAAGGCCCUGCUUUUGUGGGGUGCUCGAGUGGCGAACGGGUGAGUAACACGUGAGUAACCUGCCCUUGACUUUGGGAUAACUUCAGGAAACUGGGGCUAAUACCGGAUAGGAGCUCCUGCUGCAUGGUGGGGGUUGGAAAGUUUCGGCGGUUGGGGAUGGACUCGCGGCUUAUCAGCUUGUUGGUGGGGUAGUGGCUUACCAAGGCUUUGACGGGUAGCCGGCCUGAGAGGGUGACCGGCGACAUUGGGACUGAGAUACGGCCCAGACUCCUACGGGAGGCAGCAGGGGGGAAUAUUGCACAAUGGGCGGAAGCCUGAUGCAGCAACGCCGCGUGCGGGAUGACGGCCUUCGGGUUGUAAACCGCUUUCGCCUGUGACGAAGCGUGAGUGACGGUAAUGGGUAAAGAAGCACCGGCUAACUACGUG
RNAcentral lists this ribosomal RNA (468 nucleotides) under uncultured bacterium. Its description in RNAcentral is "partial 16S ribosomal RNA". It matches the Rfam family "Bacterial small subunit ribosomal RNA", at positions 28 to 507 of the family's 1533-position model. The record is from RNAcentral.